CUGACGCACAGGACGUGCUAGGGAUCAUGGAUGAUCGACCACCGCCAGGACGGCGCUCCAACGAGUUGGAAUGGUCAGGAAAAACCCGCCUCGGCGGGUUUUUU
RNAcentral lists this small RNA (104 nucleotides) under uncultured Pseudomonas sp. Lineage: Bacteria; Pseudomonadati; Pseudomonadota; Gammaproteobacteria; Pseudomonadales; Pseudomonadaceae. The record is from RNAcentral.